This 187-nucleotide non-coding RNA is filed under the name Acidobacteriota bacterium. Its description in RNAcentral is "6S RNA". It matches the Rfam family "6S / SsrS RNA". From Rfam's summary of the family: E. coli 6S RNA was the first non coding RNA to be sequenced, but its function was unknown until recently. It consists of 184 nucleotides that fold into an extended hairpin structure with a large single-stranded internal bulge. Lineage: Bacteria; Pseudomonadati; Acidobacteriota. The record is from RNAcentral.
CCAGUUCUGCGGGGUUCGCCACCGAUUCUUCGAUGAUUGAGCCUAUGCCGUAAAUUAGGGAGACCGAUGCCGUUGCCAGUGCGGCCCCUCAUGAGGGAAUCGCCGGAGGCGCGGCUUAUCACAAAGGUCACCCACCUGUUAGCGCAGGGUUCAAUUACGGCUUCGGAGCGGCCGCCGCGGUCCUCCU